Molecule: long non-coding RNA, 2061 nt
Organism: Acinonyx jubatus (cheetah)
Lineage: Eukaryota; Metazoa; Chordata; Mammalia; Carnivora; Felidae
Exons: 3
Source: RefSeq, a predicted model, not a curated record
UGUCGGACUAAGCUUUUUUUCUUUUGUCAGAUCAUAAUAAUAGGUUGUUACCUAUUGCCACAUGCUUUCUGCUCCCCAGGCACUGUCCCGGGGGCCUGGAACACACGUUAGCUCGCUUUGUCCUCACGAUCACCGAACGCGGAGGCACUAGCCGCAGACCCAUUUUGUAGAUGACAAAGCACACACAGGCGGGUAACUUACCCACAGUCACAGGGUCCUUUACAGAGCUCUGGAUGCAGGCGCCUACAUUCUUUUCCCAGAGCACAGACGUGGGCUGGGGCGCGGUCCCCAAGUCUGCCUUCAGCGGAGUUGCUCUAAGGCUCUGGACUUCAGAACCUCCUGAGGGACUUCGUUCCAGCUGGACUUUGGGGUUCUGCCCCCCAGUGGUGUGCCAGUAAACAUUUCAGCAGCAGCUCCUGGGCUGUGGGAGCCCCCGUUUUUAGCCUUUGCCAGUUUCCGCGGUGUAAGUACUCUUUUUUUUUUUAUUUAAUUUUAAUGUUUAUUUUUGAGAGAGGGAGAGAGAGAGAGGGCAAGUCGGGGAGGGGCAGAGAGAGAGAGAGAGAGGGAGACACAAGAAUCCGAAGCAGGCUCCAGGCUCUAGGCUCCGAGCUGUCAGCCCAGAUCGCGACGCGGGGCUCAAACCCACAAACCGCGAGAUCAUGACCUGAGCCAAAGUCGGACGCUCAACCGACUGAGCCACCCAGGCGCCCCAAGACACCGAUGGUUUAAAAACAAACAAAAAACUGUGUUAAAGUUUAUAGCCCUUAUCCAUCACUUGAAUUGACUGGUUUGAUUUAUCAUUGCCAGGCAGUCUAUUCGUUGAGAGUCCCUGAAACUCACCAAACAACUUUGAGAAGAGAGCAAAGGAAAACGAUCCAGUCCUUGCCAACUGGAAUCAGAGAGAGAGAGAGAGAAGAGGACAUCGAAUACCGUAAAGAAAAAUAUCUCUAUAUGUCUAUAAACAAAAACAAACUAUUACUGCUCUGCAAGCGGGAACACGUGUGCCUGGGCUUUUAAACUUGAAGCCAGUAGCUUGCUCAGAUCUCUGGGGGGGUCAGCGCCAGGAAGUCAUUCCCCCUGGCCUGCCGUGUUGUGCCCAGGACGGUUCUGGGGGUGAACGCAGUGAAGCAGGUGGCCGGGGUGGAUAUCCGGGGCACGGAUCGGGGAGGAGGUGUGGACCCUUUCCCCGGGAUGCAUCGUCCACACGCACUGGUUCUGGUUUGUGAGCAGCUCCAGGGUCGGUUUCAGGCGAUGGCAUUUAAGGCAGGAAGCAGAGGAAGCCUGGCCCCCAUUAACCGAUCCCCCCUGGCGUGCCCCGGCGUGAGGGGACGUGUGGGGUUCCAGCGGCGGGUCUGAAAGCCCUUUUUCAUAGCUGGGUGUGUGGGGCUGCAGUGUCUCUGAAGGCCCCGUCGCCUGAUGUUCCCGAAGUCCCAGCUGAGAUUUGGUUCCAAGCCUUAAGAAAACUGAGGCUGAAAAACUAAUGUGAGGCCUCGACUCCGGGUAGUGAAGGGAGCCUCCCGUCCAUGCGGCAUCUGCUAGGGAAAAACAGAACAGAACAGAACAGAACAACCCAGAAUGAAGGCUAAUGCCAACAGCCAGGAUUUGAUGAGCGCUUCCUGCUGGCCGGGCAUUGGGAUGAGGAUUGUAUCUGUGGUACCUUCGUCCUCCUCACGAGAGCUCUAUGAUGUAGACUCUGUUAUUACUCCAUCUAACAGCCAUUAGAACAAAGACGAGAGCCUGAAAAAUGGUUGGAGGAAGCGAUCCUAAUUUCACUGAAGCGGAAAGAUAACCAUGGAACAAGUCUGCCAGCCCUCAACCCUGUCACUGAAGAGAAACUACCCCUGAACGCGCUAUCUGCCAAGGCUGCUCCUGGGUUCCUUAAAGUGGAGUGAAAACUUAAAGCACGUGAACAUUUCUGGUGCAGAAGACGUGACGAUUCUUACGGCUCUCCCCCAGCCUGUUAACGACUGUUUCACCCAUACCUGCUCCCAUCUUGAAAUCCUCACCUUUAUCGUUUGCCCCAGCGCGUCUGCAGAGAAAUAAACUUUAUUGCCACUCGUA